CCCUUAGAUGUUCUGGGCCGCACGCGCGCUACAAUGAUGAAUUCAACGAGUUUAUAACCUUGGUUGAAAAGCCUGGGUAAUCUUUUGAACUUUCGUCGUGAUGGGGCUAGACCCUUGCAAUUAUUGGUCUCCAACGAGGAAUUCCUAGUAAACGCAAGUCAUCAGCUUGCAUUGAUUACGUCCCUGCCCUUUGUACACACCGCCCGUCGCUUCUACCGAUGAAUGAUCCGGUGAACACUCUGGACUUGUUGUCUGUCGGAGCAAUCCAAAGACGAUAGGGAAGUUGUGUAAACCUUAUCAUUUAGAGGAAGAAGAAGUCGUAACA
Molecule: ribosomal RNA, 325 nt
Filed under: uncultured eukaryote
Lineage: Eukaryota
Description: partial 18S ribosomal RNA
Rfam family: Eukaryotic small subunit ribosomal RNA
Source: RNAcentral